This 225-nucleotide long non-coding RNA is filed under the name Nicotiana benthamiana. Its description in RNAcentral is "long non-coding RNA (NBEN_LNC002736)". Lineage: Eukaryota; Viridiplantae; Streptophyta; Magnoliopsida; Solanales; Solanaceae. The record is from RNAcentral.
UGCAAUUCACCCCUUAUUUGUCUGUGUUGAAGCUAUGGCGAUUUGGUGAUAAGAAUUCAGCAAGAUACAGUUAGUUGUUCAUGGCCGCUAUGGCCUUUACAAAAUCAUCGUUUGAUUAUAUUUCUCCUCCUUUCAGUUACCCUUCUUCAAAAACACUUCAAUUACCCAAAAUUCAAUCUUUGCAAAACUUUAGAGCCAAAAGUAUUAGAAUUUACUGUUCUUCCC